This 459-nucleotide ribosomal RNA is filed under the name uncultured bacterium. RNAcentral describes it as "partial 16S ribosomal RNA". It matches the Rfam family "Bacterial small subunit ribosomal RNA", at positions 338 to 795 of the family's 1533-position model. The record is from RNAcentral.
CCUACGGGUGGCAGCAGUGAGGAAUAUUGGUCAAUGGGCGAGAGCCUGAACCAGCCAAGUCGCGUGAGGGAAGACGGUCCUAUGGGUUGUAAACCUCUUUUGUCGGGGAGCAAAAGACGCCACGCGUGGCGUUACGGAGGUACCCGAAGGAAAAGCAUCGGCUAACUCCGUGCCAGCAGCCGCGGUAAUACGGAAGGUGCGGGCGUUAUCCGGAUUUAUUGGGUUUAAAGGGGGCGAAGGCGGAAGAUCAAGUCAGCGGUAAAAUUGAGGGGCUCAACCUCUGCGAGCCGUUGAAACUGGUUUUCUUGAGUGAGUGAGAAGUAUGCGGAAUGCGUGGUGUAGCGGUGAAAUGCAUAGAUAUCACGCAGAACUCCGAUUGCGAAGGCAGCAUACCGGCGCUCAACUGACGCUCAUGCACGAAAGUGUGGGUAUCGAACAGGAUUAGAUACCCCGGUAGUC